This 437-nucleotide ribosomal RNA is filed under the name uncultured bacterium. RNAcentral's name for it is "bacterial SSU rRNA". It matches the Rfam family "Bacterial small subunit ribosomal RNA", at positions 1076 to 1512 of the family's 1533-position model. The record is from RNAcentral.
UGGGUUAAGUCCCGUAACGAGCGCAACCCUUGUCCUUAGUUACCAGCACGUAAUGGUGGGCACUCUAAGGAGACUGCCGGUGACAAACCGGAGGAAGGUGGGGAUGACGUCAAGUCAUCAUGGCCCUUACGGCCUGGGCUACACACGUGCUACAAUGGUCGGUACAGAGGGUUGCCAAGCCGCGAGGUGGAGCUAAUCCCACAAAACCGAUCGUAGUCCGGAUCGCAGUCUGCAACUCGACUGCGUGAAGUCGGAAUCGCUAGUAAUCGCGAAUCAGAAUGUCGCGGUGAAUACGUUCCCGGGCCUUGUACACACCGCCCGUCACACCAUGGGAGUGGGUUGCACCAGAAGUAGCUAGUCUAACCUUCGGGAGGACGGUUACCACGGUGUGAUUCAUGACUGGGGUGAAGUCGUAACAAGGUAGCCGUAGGGGAACC